RNAcentral lists this ribosomal RNA (331 nucleotides) under uncultured Steroidobacter sp. RNAcentral's name for it is "bacterial SSU rRNA". It matches the Rfam family "Bacterial small subunit ribosomal RNA", at positions 568 to 898 of the family's 1533-position model. Lineage: Bacteria; Pseudomonadati; Pseudomonadota; Gammaproteobacteria; Steroidobacterales; Steroidobacteraceae. The record is from RNAcentral.
CGCGUAGGCGGUUUUGCAAGUCGGGUGUGAAAUCCCCAAGCUUAACUUGGGAACUGCAUUCGAGACUGCAUUGCUAGAGUAUGGGAGAGAGAAGUGGAAUUUCCGGUGUAGCGGUGAAAUGCGUAGAUAUCGGAAGGAACAUCAGUGGCGAAAGCGACUUCUUGGACCAAUACUGACGCUCAAGUGCGAAAGCGUGGGGAGCAAACAGGAUUAGAUACCCUGGUAGUCCACGCCAUAAACGAUGAGAACUGGAUGUCGGGAGGGUCUGCCUCUCGGUGUCGUAGCUAACGCGAUAAGUUCUCCGCCUGGGGAGUACGGCCGCAAGGUUGAA